Molecule: ribosomal RNA, 253 nt
Filed under: uncultured bacterium
Lineage: Bacteria
Description: partial 16S ribosomal RNA
Rfam family: Bacterial small subunit ribosomal RNA
Source: RNAcentral
UACGUAGGGGGCAAGCGUUGUUCGGAAUUACUGGGCGUAAAGCGUGCGUAGACGGUUAUGUAAGUCGGGUGUGAAAGCCCCGGGCUCAACCUGGGAAUUGCAUUCGAGACUGCAUAGCUAGGAUGCGGAAGAGGGAAGUGGAAUUCCCGGUGUAGUGGUGAAAUGCGUAGAUAUCGUAAGGAAGACCAGUGGCGAAGGCGGGUCUCUGGACAGUUCCUGACGCUGAGGCACGAAGGCCAGGGGAGCAAACGGG